CCUACGGGUGGCUGCAGUAGGGAAUAUUGGACAAUGGGUGGAAGCCUGAUCCAGCCAUGCCGCGUGCAGGAAGACGGCCUUCUGGGUUGUAAACUGCUUUUGCCAGGGGAUAAAAAGCCCGUGCGCGGGAAAUUGAAGGUACCUGGUGAAUAAGCCACGGCUAACUACGUGCCAGCAGCCGCGGUAAUACGUAGGUGGCGAGCGUUGUCCGGAUUUAUUGGGUUUAAAGGGUGCGUAGGCGGUCUGUUAAGUCAGUGGUGAAAUACGGCAGCUCA
RNAcentral lists this ribosomal RNA (275 nucleotides) under uncultured Ohtaekwangia sp. RNAcentral's name for it is "partial 16S ribosomal RNA". It matches the Rfam family "Bacterial small subunit ribosomal RNA", at positions 338 to 611 of the family's 1533-position model. Lineage: Bacteria; Pseudomonadati; Bacteroidota; Cytophagia; Cytophagales; Fulvivirgaceae. The record is from RNAcentral.